RNAcentral lists this ribosomal RNA (495 nucleotides) under Bacillus pumilus. RNAcentral describes it as "bacterial SSU rRNA". It matches the Rfam family "Bacterial small subunit ribosomal RNA", at positions 10 to 493 of the family's 1533-position model. Lineage: Bacteria; Bacillati; Bacillota; Bacilli; Caryophanales; Bacillaceae. The record is from RNAcentral.
AGUUUGAUCAUGGCUCAGGACGAACGCUGGCGGCGUGCCUAAUACAUGCAAGUCGAGCGGACAGAAGGGAGCUUGCUCCCGGAUGUUAGCGGCGGACGGGUGAGUAACACGUGGGUAACCUGCCUGUAAGACUGGGAUAACUCCGGGAAACCGGAGCUAAUACCGGAUAGUUCCUUGAACCGCAUGGUUCAAGGAUGAAAGACGGUUUCGGCUGUCACUUACAGAUGGACCCGCGGCGCAUUAGCUAGUUGGUGGGGUAAUGGCUCACCAAGGCGACGAUGCGUAGCCGACCUGAGAGGGUGAUCGGCCACACUGGGAUGAGACACGGCCCAGACUCCUACGGGAGGCAGCAGUAGGGAAUUUCCGCAAUGGACGAAAGUCUGACGGAGCAACGCCGCGUGAGUGAUGAAAGGUUUCGGAUCGUAAACUACUGUUGUUAGGGAAGAAACAAGUGCGAGAGUAACUGCUCGCACCUGACGUACCUACCCAAAGCGA